Molecule: ribosomal RNA, 913 nt
Filed under: uncultured Anaplasma sp.
Lineage: Bacteria; Pseudomonadati; Pseudomonadota; Alphaproteobacteria; Rickettsiales; Anaplasmataceae
Description: bacterial SSU rRNA
Source: RNAcentral
CCGGCAAACUCCGUGCCAGCAGCCGCGGUAAUACGGAGGGGGCAAGCGUUGUUCGGAAUUAUUGGGCGUAAAGGGCAUGUAGGCGGUUCAGUAAGUUAAAGGUGAAAUACCAGGGCUUAACCCUGGAGCUGCUUUUAAUACUGCUGGAYUGGAGUUCGGAAGAGGAUAGCGGAAUUCCUAGUGUAGAGGUGAAAUUCGUAGAUAUUAGGAGGAACACCAGUGGCGAAGGCGGCUAUCUGGUCCGAUACUGACGYUGAGGUGCGAAAGCGUGGGGAGCAAMCAGGAUUAGAUACCCUGGUAGUCCACGCKGUAAACGAUGAGUGCUUAAUGUGGGGGUGCGAGCCUCYGUGUUGWAGCUAACGCGAUAAGCACUCCGCCUGGGGACUACGGUCGCAAGACUAAAACUCAAAGGAAUUGACGGGGACCUGCACAAGCGGUGGAGCAUGUGGUUUAAUUCGAUGCAACGCGAAGAACCUUACCACUCCUUGACAUGGGGACUAGAUCCUUCUUAACGGAAGGGCGCAGUUAGGCUGGGUCYCACACAGGUGCUGCAUGGCUGUCGUCAGCUCGUGUCGUGAGAUGUUGGGUUAAGUCCCGCAACGAGCGUAACCCUCAUUCUUAGUUGCCAGCGGGUAAUGCCGGGCACUUUAAGAAAACUGCCRGUGGUAAACUGGAGGAAGGUGGGGAUGAUGUCAAGUCAGCACGGCCCUUAUGGGGUGGGCUACACACGUGCUACAAUGGUAGCUACAAUGGGUUGCAAUGUCGCAAGGCGGAGCUAAUCCUYAAAAGYYAUCUCAGUUCGGAUUGUCCUCUGCAACUCGAGGGCAUGAAGUCGGAAUCGCUAGUAAUCGUGGAUCAGCAUGCCACGGUGAAUACGUUCUCGGGUCUUGUACACACUGCCCGUCACGCCAUG